GGGUUGUGAGGUUAAGCGACUAAGCGUACACGGUGGAUGCCCUGGCAGUCAGAGGCGAUGAAGGACGUGCUAAUCUGCGAUAAGCGUCGGUAAGGUGAUAUGAACCGUUAUAACCGGCGAUUUCCGAAUGGGGAAACCCAGUGUGUUUCGACACACUAUCAUUAACUGAAUCCAUAGGUUAAUGAGGCGAACCGGGGGAACUGAAACAUCUAAGUACCCCGAGGAAAAGAAAUCAACCGAGAUUCCCCCAGUAGCGGCGAGCGAACGGGGAGCAGCCCAGAGCCUGAAUCAGUGUGUGUGUUAGUGGAAGCGUCUGGAAAGGCGCGCGAUACAGGGUGACAGCCCCGUACACAAAAAUGCACAUGCUGUGAGCUCGAUGAGUAGGGCGGGACACGUGGUAUCCUGUCUGAAUAUGGGGGGACCAUCCUCCAAGGCUAAAUACUCCUGACUGACCGAUAGUGAACCAGUACCGUGAGGGAAAGGCGAAAAGAACCCCGGCGAGGGGAGUGAAAAAGAACCUGAAACCGUGUACGUACAAGCAGUGGGAGCACGCUUCGGCGUGUGACUGCGUACCUUUUGUAUAAUGGGUCAGCGACUUAUAUUCUGUAGCAAGGUUAACCGAAUAGGGGAGCCGAAGGGAAACCGAGUCUUAACUGGGCGUUAAGUUGCAGGGUAUAGACCCGAAACCCGGUGAUCUAGCCAUGGGCAGGUUGAAGGUUGGGUAACACUAACUGGAGGACCGAACCGACUAAUGUUGAAAAAUUAGCGGAUGACUUGUGGCUGGGGGUGAAAGGCCAAUCAAACCGGGAGAUAGCUGGUUCUCCCCGAAAGCUAUUUAGGUAGCGCCUCGUGAAUUCAUCUCCGGGGGUAGAGCACUGUUUCGGCAAGGGGGUCAUCCCGACUUACCAACCCGAUGCAAACUGCGAAUACCGGAGAAUGUUAUCACGGGAGACACACGGCGGGUGCUAACGUCCGUCGUGAAGAGGGAAACAACCCAGACCGCCAGCUAAGGUCCCAAAGUCAUGGUUAAGUGGGAAACGAUGUGGGAAGGCCCAGACAGCCAGGAUGUUGGCUUAGAAGCAGCCAUCAUUUAAAGAAAGCGUAAUAGCUCACUGGUCGAGUCGGCCUGCGCGGAAGAUGUAACGGGGCUAAACCAUGCACCGAAGCUGCGGCAGCGACGCUGAUGCGUUGUUGGGUAGGGGAGCGUUCUGUAAGCCUGUGAAGGUGUGCUGUGAGGCAUGCUGGAGGUAUCAGAAGUGCGAAUGCUGACAUAAGUAACGAUAAAGCGGGUGAAAAGCCCGCUCGCCGGAAGACCAAGGGUUCCUGUCCAACGUUAAUCGGGGCAGGGUGAGUCGACCCCUAAGGCGAGGCCGAAAGGCGUAGUCGAUGGGAAACAGGUUAAUAUUCCUGUACUUGGUGUUACUGCGAAGGGGGGACGGAGAAGGCUAUGUUGGCCGGGCGACGGUUGUCCCGGUUUAAGCGUGUAGGCUGGUUUUCCAGGCAAAUCCGGAAAAUCAAGGCUGAGGCGUGAUGACGAGGCACUACGGUGCUGAAGCAACAAAUGCCCUGCUUCCAGGAAAAGCCUCUAAGCAUCAGGUAACAUCAAAUCGUACCCCAAACCGACACAGGUGGUCAGGUAGAGAAUACCAAGGCGCUUGAGAGAACUCGGGUGAAGGAACUAGGCAAAAUGGUGCCGUAACUUCGGGAGAAGGCACGCUGAUAUGUAGGUGAGGUCCCUCGCGGAUGGAGCUGAAAUCAGUCGAAGAUACCAGCUGGCUGCAACUGUUUAUUAAAAACACAGCACUGUGCAAACACGAAAGUGGACGUAUACGGUGUGACGCCUGCCCGGUGCCGGAAGGUUAAUUGAUGGGGUUAGCGGUAACGCGAAGCUCUUGAUCGAAGCCCCGGUAAACGGCGGCCGUAACUAUAACGGUCCUAAGGUAGCGAAAUUCCUUGUCGGGUAAGUUCCGACCUGCACGAAUGGCGUAAUGAUGGCCAGGCUGUCUCCACCCGAGACUCAGUGAAAUUGAACUCGCUGUGAAGAUGCAGUGUACCCGCGGCAAGACGGAAAGACCCCGUGAACCUUUACUAUAGCUUGACACUGAACAUUGAGCCUUGAUGUGUAGGAUAGGUGGGAGGCUUUGAAGUGUGGACGCCAGUCUGCAUGGAGCCGACCUUGAAAUACCACCCUUUAAUGUUUGAUGUUCUAACGUUGACCCGUAAUCCGGGUUGCGGACAGUGUCUGGUGGGUAGUUUGACUGGGGCGGUCUCCUCCUAAAGAGUAACGGAGGAGCACGAAGGUUGGCUAAUCCUGGUCGGACAUCAGGAGGUUAGUGCAAUGGCAUAAGCCAGCUUGACUGCGAGCGUGACGGCGCGAGCAGGUGCGAAAGCAGGUCAUAGUGAUCCGGUGGUUCUGAAUGGAAGGGCCAUCGCUCAACGGAUAAAAGGUACUCCGGGGAUAACAGGCUGAUACCGCCCAAGAGUUCAUAUCGACGGCGGUGUUUGGCACCUCGAUGUCGGCUCAUCACAUCCUGGGGCUGAAGUAGGUCCCAAGGGUAUGGCUGUUCGCCAUUUAAAGUGGUACGCGAGCUGGGUUUAGAACGUCGUGAGACAGUUCGGUCCCUAUCUGCCGUGGGCGCUGGAGAACUGAGGGGGGCUGCUCCUAGUACGAGAGGACCGGAGUGGACGCAUCACUGGUGUUCGGGUUGUCAUGCCAAUGGCACUGCCCGGUAGCUAAAUGCGGAAGAGAUAAGUGCUGAAAGCAUCUAAGCACGAAACUUGCCCCGAGAUGAGUUCUCCCUGACUCCUUGAGAGUCCUGAAGGAACGUUGAAGACGACGACGUUGAUAGGCCGGGUGUGUAAGCGCAGCGAUGCGUUGAGCUAACCGGUACUAAUGAACCGUGAGGCUUAACCUUACAACGCCGAAGCUGUU
This 2932-nucleotide ribosomal RNA is filed under the name Escherichia coli. RNAcentral's name for it is "bacterial LSU rRNA". It matches the Rfam family "Bacterial large subunit ribosomal RNA". Lineage: Bacteria; Pseudomonadati; Pseudomonadota; Gammaproteobacteria; Enterobacterales; Enterobacteriaceae. The record is from RNAcentral.